CAAGCGCCCGCUGGCCAACCUUCAGUCAGUUAGCCGGGAAGUGUUUAAGUCGUUAGACGCGAAGUCAGAGCCUUUGUAAAAGACAAGGAAAUUUCUAAAAAAAAUCUUUUGUGAUUCGUUCCUCUCUUUUUUAGCCCCUGUGUAAAAUUCGUUUUUGAAAUACGGUUAACUGCUAUUCGAUUUGUCAAGAAAGGGGUAAGAGAGAUUUUUCAGCGAGUCAUUUAUUGGGCAAUAUUGCGCAAUUAGAACCAAACUUGUUUUCGAAGAACAGUUUUGUUUCGAAGGAAGAAGACAACGAGAGAAGAAAGUUCUUUCUCGUUUGUGUGUCGUCGGUAAGAGAAAACGUUGCCUUUCUCUCCUCCCAAGCACAUCAACUCCAUCUACUAUUCAAUACCCGUCGUAUAUAUCGCGUAGUGGAAAAACCCAAGCAGGUCGCCGUUGCGUCCCCGCCGCCAUCUUGCUCCUUUGUUUGGUGGCGUCAAGCCUGUAUAUUUACGGCCACUUGUGUGUAUUGCGCGUUAUCAUCCAUAUUCGCCUUUUUCGUUGUGUUUUGUGAUCUCAUCAACAGUUGAGGUCGAUUCGGAACCAAGAGAAGAAAAAUACUUGUUUGCUGUUUGCUGAAUAAUAUCAAGAUAGAAGUGAUGAGAAUCAUGGUUACUGCCAAGAGUAGCCUUAACAACGGUGGAGUUAGACGGGGCCGUGCCUGCUCGACGUCCACGGGCAAUCCCAUAGAGGACAUGGCCAUUUCAAGCCAGUCCUCUGCGGCUGUGACCCCUAACAGGGCAAGCAGGACACCUACUGCUCAGCCGAUUGCCAUUCCUGAAUCUGGUGCAAGAAGACGCUAUGGUUCACCAAGAAGCGUCCAAUCUGGUAGCCCUCGCUCACACUCAUACACCUCUUCCAAAUCAAGUCCCAACCGAGCAUCACCAUCAACCAAUGGGCUAUUCUAUGCGGGUGCAAAAUUCAGUGAGGCUCCAGCGGCGGCCAGUCUUCCUAAACCUCCACCUCACUGGACCACCUCAAAUGCUACAUACCACAAAGAACAGUUCCAAGAAAUAUCCAAUCAAUUGAAGAUGCUCCUCAACAUCAAGGCCUAAGAA
Long non-coding RNA from Daphnia carinata, 1100 nucleotides. RefSeq lists it as uncharacterized. The record is from RefSeq and is a predicted model, not a curated record. NCBI's taxonomy places the organism in Eukaryota, Metazoa, Arthropoda, Branchiopoda, Diplostraca, Daphniidae. The transcript is spliced from 2 exons.